RNAcentral lists this ribosomal RNA (427 nucleotides) under uncultured bacterium. RNAcentral's name for it is "bacterial SSU rRNA". It matches the Rfam family "Bacterial small subunit ribosomal RNA", at positions 355 to 774 of the family's 1533-position model. The record is from RNAcentral.
UGGGGAAUUUUGGACAAUGGGCGAAAGCCUGAUCCAGCAAUGCCGCGUGUGUGAAGAAGGCCUUCGGGUUGUAAAGCACUUUUGUCCGGAAAGAAAUCCUCUGGGUUAAUACCUCGGGGGGAUGACGGUACCGGAAGAAUAAGCACCGGCUAACUACGUGCCAGCAGCCGCGGUAAUACGUAGGGUGCAAGCGUUAAUCGGAAUUACUGGGCGUAAAGCGUGCGCAGGCGGUUUUGUAAGACGGAUGUGAAAUCCCCGGGCUUAACCUGGGAACUGCAUUCGUGACUGCAAGGCUAGAGUAUGGCAGAGGGGGGUAGAAUUCCUCGUGUAGCAGUGCAAUGCGUAGAGAUGUGGAGGAAUACCGAUGGCGAAGGCAGCCCCCUGGGCCAAUACUGACGCUCAUGCACGAAAGCGUGGGGAGCAAACA